UACGUAGGGUGCGAGCGUUAAUCGGAAUUACUGGGCGUAAAGCGUGCGCAGGCGGUGAUGUAAGACAGAUGUGAAAUCCCCGGGCUCAACCUGGGGACUGCAUUUGUGACUGCAUCGCUGGAGUACGGCAGAGGGGGAUGGAAUUCCGCGUGUAGCAGUGAAAUGCGUAGAUAUGCGGAGGAACACCGAUGGCGAAGGCAAUCCCCUGGGCCUGUACUGACGCUCAUGCACGAAAGCGUGGGGAGCAAACAGG
RNAcentral lists this ribosomal RNA (253 nucleotides) under uncultured bacterium. Its description in RNAcentral is "partial 16S ribosomal RNA". It matches the Rfam family "Bacterial small subunit ribosomal RNA", at positions 524 to 776 of the family's 1533-position model. The record is from RNAcentral.